Molecule: non-coding RNA, 65 nt
Organism: Megalops atlanticus (tarpon)
Lineage: Eukaryota; Metazoa; Chordata; Actinopteri; Elopiformes; Megalopidae
Source: the annotation of a GenBank genome assembly
GGACGUGGCGUAGUGGUAGGGAGCAGGGCUCGUAACCCAAAGGUUGAUGGUUCGAUUCCCCGCUG